ACAGACGAGGAGCUUGCUCCUCUGACGUUAGCGGCGGACGGGUGAGUAACACGUGGAUAACCUACCUAUAAGACUGGGAUAACUUCGGGAAACCGGAGCUAAUACCGGAUAAUAUAUUGAACCGCAUGGUUCAAUAGUGAAAGACGGUUUUGCUGUCACCUAUAGAUGGAUCCGCGCCGCAUUAGCUAGUUUGGUAAGGUAACGGCUUACCAAGGCAACGAUGCGUAGCCGACCUGAGAGGGUGAUCGGCCACACUGGAACUGAGACACGGUCCAGACUCCUACGGGAGGCAGCAGUAGGGAAUCUUCCGCAAUGGGCGAAAGCCUGACGGAGCAACGCCGCGUGAGUGAUGAAGGUCUUCGGAUCGUAAAACUCUGUUAUUAGGGAAGAACAAAUGUGUAAGUAACUAUGCACGUCUUGACGGUACCUAAUCAGAAAGCCACGGCUAACUACGUGCCAGCAGCCGCGGUAAUACGUAGGUGGCAAGCGUUAUCCGGAAUUAUUGGGCGUAAAGCGCGCGUAGGCGGUUUUUUAAGUCUGAUGUGAAAGCCCACGGCUCAACCGUGGAGGGUCAUUGGAAACUGGAAAACUUGAGUGCAGAAGAGGAAAGUGGAAUUCCAUGUGUAGCGGUGAAAUGCGCAGAGAUAUGGAGGAACACCAG
This 661-nucleotide ribosomal RNA is filed under the name uncultured Staphylococcus sp. RNAcentral's name for it is "bacterial SSU rRNA". It matches the Rfam family "Bacterial small subunit ribosomal RNA", at positions 69 to 712 of the family's 1533-position model. The record is from RNAcentral. Lineage: Bacteria; Bacillati; Bacillota; Bacilli; Caryophanales; Staphylococcaceae.